RNAcentral lists this ribosomal RNA (391 nucleotides) under Peronosporales sp. RNAcentral describes it as "partial small subunit ribosomal RNA". It matches the Rfam family "Eukaryotic small subunit ribosomal RNA", at positions 582 to 975 of the family's 1831-position model. Lineage: Eukaryota; Oomycota; Peronosporomycetes; Peronosporales. The record is from RNAcentral.
AUUCCAGCUCCAAUAGCGUAUAUUAAAGUUGUUGCAGUUAAAAAGCUCGUAGUUGGAUUUGUUGUGAGAGUGAAGUGACUGGCACAAUGUCAGUCUUUUUUAUUCCACAUUCUUUGUGUUGGCUUAGGGAUGGCAUUCAGUUGCUGCCUCAAAUACACGCAUCUUUUACUGUGAAGAAAUUAGAGUGUUUAAAGCAGACGUUAUUGUCGUUGAAUACAUUAGCAUGGAAUAAUAAUAUAUGACUCGAUUGGUCUAUUUUGUUGGUUUGCACAUUUGAGUAAUGAUUAAUAGGGACAGUUGGGGAUAUUCAUAUUUGAGCGUCAGAGGUGAAAUUCUUGGAUCGCUGAAAGAUGAGCUAAGGCGAAAGCAUUUAUCAAGGAUGUUUUCAUUG